CUGAGUGUUUCUAAGCCUAAGACAUCUUUGUGAGCUCUGGAAACAAGGGCUUCUUUAAGAAGGCCCCAAAAGCCCAAGGAAAACAUUAAGAAAUUCAACUACAUUAAAUUUUAAACUUCUUUAUAUUGAAAUUAAAAGUGAAAACAAAAUCCACAAAAGGAUAACGAACAGAGAUUAAGUAUCCAGAAUAGGUGCAGAAUUAGUUGUCAACAAGAAGGUGGCAAACAACUCAGAAAAGAGCAAAAACCAUGAAUGGGGUUUCGCAGAAAUGGAAAAAUAAAUAGAAAUGCUCAUCCUUCUUAGUGAUCAGCAAGUAAAGCCAGAGGGACGUCCUUUCAUGCCCAUCAGAAUGAUGAUGGUUUGGGGGAGAGGGUGGAGACCAGUGGUCUUACCCAGUACCCUUCUUGUGACCUCCUUGGUGACAUUCAGUCGGGUUGGGAGCUUCUUGCAUGUUCAGACAAGAAAACGUGCUCAGAUACCUGAAAUAGCAAACAACUGGAGACAGCCCACAGGUGCAUCAUUAGAGGAAUGGACAGGAACGCAGCAUUUACAGAACAAAUAAACACAAGUGACGUGGCCACCCCAGGAUCUAACAGCUCUUCAGUGAGCUAUGUUGCAAGCUCAGAAGUAAUCCACUAACGAACCAAGUCAGACUCCAGUUCUUCAUCAAAAGGUGCUGGUGGAGGUUGUCAGACGCCUUCCAAU
RNAcentral lists this long non-coding RNA (705 nucleotides) under Homo sapiens (human). RNAcentral describes it as "PREDICTED lncRNA (TCONS_00029641)". The record is from RNAcentral. Lineage: Eukaryota; Metazoa; Chordata; Mammalia; Primates; Hominidae.